AUUGAACGCUGGCGGCAUGCCUUACACAUGCAAGUCGAACGGCAGCACGGGAGCAAUCCUGGUGGCGAGUGGCGAACGGGUGAGUAAUAUAUCGGAACGUGCCCAGUCGUGGGGGAUAACGUAGCGAAAGCUACGCUAAUACCGCAUACGAUCUACGGAUGAAAGCGGGGGAUCGCAAGACCUCGCGCGAUUGGAGCGGCCGAUAUCAGAUUAGCUAGUUGGUGGGGUAAAAGCUCACCAAGGCGACGAUCUGUAGCUGGUCUGAGAGGACGACCAGCCACACUGGAACUGAGACACGGUCCAGACUCCUACGGGAGGCAGCAGUGGGGAAUUUUGGACAAUGGGCGCAAGUCUGAUCCAGCAAUGCCGCGUGCAGGAUGAAGGCCUCGGUUGUAACUAGCUUUGUUACGGUACGAAACGGUAGAGACGUCUAAUAAAGACUUAGUCUAAUAGUACGGUACCGUAACGAAUAAAGACAACCGGCCUAACGUAACGUAGACCG
RNAcentral lists this ribosomal RNA (502 nucleotides) under uncultured bacterium. Its description in RNAcentral is "bacterial SSU rRNA". It matches the Rfam family "Bacterial small subunit ribosomal RNA", at positions 30 to 530 of the family's 1533-position model. The record is from RNAcentral.